Non-coding RNA from Oryctolagus cuniculus (rabbit), 5898 nucleotides. NCBI's taxonomy places the organism in Eukaryota, Metazoa, Chordata, Mammalia, Lagomorpha, Leporidae. The record is from RefSeq and is a predicted model, not a curated record.
CCACCCUCCACCCCUCGCCCUUACGCGGCGCGCGGACGCCAGGCACGCCCUACCUGCGACACCGAAGCCCUGGAGGCCGCAGAAGGGAGCCAUGUGCAGCCCGGGCACUGGAGGCCAAGGGCACAGCGGCAGGAGACCCACGCUCAGUUUCUCAAGAAAAGGCCAAGAAAGAGGAAUGGUCCCCUGCUGAGCCUCCUCCAUACUCCGGCACCUUGCAAGGUGCACACUUGGACAUUGUUGGUCCCCACAUCGUGCUGCUAUUCCCGUUUUACAGGAACACUAGCAGUGUGCUGGAUCAAAAGCAGGGCAGCUCAAACUGGAAUUCAUACUGAUACAGGAUGCCAGCUUAACCCACCGCACCGAAGCUCCGGCCCCUGGACUCUGCAUUCCAACACACUGCCAGGGGAGGCUAGUGCUGCCAGACCAGAGGACACGUGCAGGAGUAGCAAGGCUGUAUCCUGGCUUUGAACUCCUCGUUCCAGGUGUCCUCACUGCUCAGAGGUAAGGGGCACAGCCGGGAGCAAGAACAGCAAGCAAGCGUUCUCUUGUCCUCUUGGGAACACAGGCAGAUCAGAUAGAAACAUUGUGUGGCAGGGUGUGUUUCCAUCCUACACACUCCAUUGCUGUUCCCCAGACCCUCUUCUCAGCUCUGAGCUCGCCCUGUGACUUGUUUAGUCACCAGAAGGUGUAGACAGUGGUGCCGUGCAUCCUCUGAGGCUGGCCCUUCACUAUGUGGGGUGCUUGCUCUUGGGAUCCAGCUACCCUGUGAGCAAAUCCAAGAGGCAGUCACAUGGAGAAGAGAGCCCAGCCUCCCAGCCACACCUGCCAAGACCUGAGCUUUAUGAGUAGAGCUCUCCUAGAUAUUCCAGCCCCAACCACCCUCUCAGAUUACAGCCCAGACCAGCUACAGAAUAUGUAGGGCCAAUGCAAAAUGAAGAUGCAGGGUCCGUGAUUCUAAAAUUAUCUAGGAUUUCAGGAGCUGGGCUCAUGCACAUAUACGUGUGGGUAACCGAAGAUGCAGGCGAGGCAGGAAGCAGCUCAUGGGUGUUCAGUCUGCCCUUUUGGCCAAGGAGCCAGGUAGACUGCCAGCAGCCUGCGUUUCUGCCCUGGGACAGCAAGAACUCAGCCUUCAUCUCAGGAAUUCUGGGUAGGGAUUGAUUUGGGCCAAAUGCAUCACCACAUGACCUGAGAGUUACAGGUUUUCUAAGCAAAAAUAUACCUGGGGACAUACACUUGCCUUAGCAGUUAAGAUGGCAAUGAGGAUGCCACCUCCCAGUUCCUGUUCUGCUCCCAUUGUAGCUUCCUGCUAAUGUGAGCUGCUGAAGCAGCAGGUGAUGGUUCAGGUGGCUGGAUCCCUGCCACCCACAUUGAAACCUGGAUGGAGUCCCAGGCUUCUAAUUUUGGUCUGGCCCAGCCCCAGCUGUUGCAGGCAUCUGGGGACUAAAUCAGCAGGUGGAAGAUCUUUCUCUCUCUCUGCCUUUCAAAUAAUAAAUGAAUAAAAAAAAUUUUUUUAAGCGGAACUAGUUUUUUUUUUAAGCGGAACUAGUUUUUUUUUUUAAAUGAAUAAAAAUUAAUACCAGAACUUGAGUUCCUGCAGACUCUUCCCAAUCUCCAACUCUUUUGGCUCAUAAUGUACUGCAGUGACUUUCACCCUUUUUUAAAGGCUUAGGAACAAUUUUCUCUUUAAGUGAUUUUCCCUUUUGGGGUCUGAGGAGCAGAGGGCUGCGGCAGUCUGUCCCGCCCACUCGUGGCCAUUGCCUUCAGAGCUCCAGACCACACCCACUCUUGUCUCUCUCCCUUUUCAUCCCCAUCCCCUUGCAACUUCCUCCUCUUCCCCUACUAAGCACCUCUCUCAUGUAUUUAUUGGUUGUCUAUGGAUGCAUGGUAAACAUGUAGGGCUGAUACAUAUAUGUAUAUAGUUUUUCUAAAUUUCAGUUAAUUUGAAAGAGAGAGAGGGAGAGACCACAACAGCCAUAAGAGGGCCAAAGCCAGAAGUCUGGAACUCUAUCCAGUUCUCCCUUGUGGGUAGUAGGGACCCAAGUACUUGAGCUAUUUUCUGCUUACUCCCAGGGCUUGCAUCAACAGGAAGUUGGAUCAGAAGCAGAGUAGCUGGGGCUUGAACCAGGCACUCCCAUAUAGGGUGCAGGCAUCCUGAGCAGCGUCUUAACAGCUGACUCCCAUGACUUCCCAUAGAUAUAGUUUAAUUUACAUGAUAUUAGGCCAGCGCUGCGGCUCACUAGGCUAAACCUCCGCCUUGUGGCACCGGCACACCGGGUUCUAGUCCCGGUUGGGGCGCCAGAUUCUGUCCCGGUUGCCCCUCUUCCAGGCCAGCUCUCUGCUGUGGCCAGGGAGUGCAGUGGAGGAUGGCCCAAGUGCUUGGGCCCUGCACCCCAUGGGAGACCAGAAUAAGUACCUGGCUCCUGCCAUCGGAUCAUUGCGGUGCGCUGGCCACAGCGUGCCGGCCGCGGUGGCCAUUGGAGGGUGAACCAACGGUAAAAGGAAGACCUUUUUUCUCUGUCUCUCUCUCUCACUGUCCACUCUGCCUGUCAAAAAAAAUAAAAAUAAAAAUAAAAAAUAAAAAAAUUAAAAAUAAAAAUAAAAAAAUAAAAAAUAGAAAACUUUAAAAAAAUUCACAUGAUAUUGUAUACUUAAACUUCUUUCCUCCUUCCUUCUUCUCUCUUUCCUUCCUUCCCUCCUUUUUUUUCCCUCCCUUCCUCCCUUCCUCCCUCCCUUCCUUUUCUUUUUUCACUUGAAAGGGUUUAAAGGUCCCUCCUUGGUGCUGUGUAUGCGGUGAUUUCAUUCUUCCAACAGCUAUUUUGCAGCAUUUCAUGUUUGGAUGAAAAGUCUUGGCCGGCGCCGCGGCUCAACAGGCUAAUCCUCUGCCUGCGGUGCCGGCACCCCGGGUUCUAGUCCCGGUCGGGGCACCAGAUUCUGUCCCGGUUGCUCCUCUUCCAGGCCAGCUCUCUGCUGUGGCCAGGGAGUGCAGUGGAGGAUGGCCCAAGUGCUUGGGCCCUGCACCCCAUGGGAGACCAGGUGGAAUCACCUGGCUCCUGGCUUCGGAUCAGCGCGGUGCACAGGCCAUAGCGACCAUUGAGGGGUGAACCAAUGGAAAAAGGAAGACCUUUCUCUCUCUCUCUCUCUCUCUCUCUGUCUCUCUGUCUCUCUCUCUCACUGUCUAACUGCCUGUCAAAAAAAUAAUAAAAUAAUUUAAAAAAAGAAAAGUCUGAGAUCUGGCUGAUUUUUGUUGUUGUUGUAGAAAACCUUCUCUGUUAUGAAAAAGUUCAGAAGUUUUUUCUUUAUCACAAACAUCACAGCCUUUUAGCAAGAUGCUUGGGGAUGUCUGCUCUCGGCAGUCUUCCCCGCUGCGGGCAGCAGGUAGUUGCAGGGGGGUGGUUAUCGAUUGAGGACAAGGUGUCCGAGAAGCAUCCCAGUGCAGGGUUGACAAGAGGUGGGUGAGAGAAGGUGCCUGGCCUGCACACAUGUCCUGGAGUCGUCUGUAUGCGGGCUCUCGUUUGGAAACCAUGAACUGAUGAGAUCCAAGGUGAAGAAUUAGUGGAGCAGGGAGGGAGUGGGCAGAGCUGCCCAAAGCAUGGGGUCUGAGAGUCCUGGCUCCUGACUCUGGCUUCCUACUAAUGCAGAUGCUGGAAGGGGAAGGCAGCAGCGAUGGCUCAAGGAACUGAGCUCCUGCCGCCCAUGCAGGGGACCUGAAGUGGUUCCCUGGCUGUCGUGGGCACUUGGGAAGUGAUCCAGUGGAUGGAAACUCUGUCUCUCAUGGUCUCUCCGCCUCUUAAAUAAAAAUAAUAAUAAAAAAAAACAACUAUGGAAAACUGAAUUAAAACAUGUUUUUUUAAAAAAACAGCAGAGCAUCACCAGAGGGUCUAUUAUUAGGUGAGCAAUUGUUUUCUUCCCUUUUCUUCUUUUUUAAAAACUAUAUUGGGGGCUGACGCCGCGGCUCAACAGGCUAAUCCUCCACCUUGCGGCGCCGGCACACCAGGUUCUAGUCCCGGUUGGGGCACCGGAUUCUGUCCUGGUUGCCCCUCUUCCAGGCCAGCUCUCUGCUGUGGCCAGGGAGUGCAGUGGAGGAUGGCCCAAGUCCUUGGGCCCUGCACCCCAUGGGAGACCAGGAGAAGUACCUGGUUCCUGGCUUCGGAUCAGCGCAGUGCGCCGGCCACAGUGCACCAGCCAUGGCGGCCAUUGGAGGGUGAACCAACGGCAAAAGGAAGACCUUUCUCUCUGUCUCUCUCUCACUAUCCACUCUGCCUGUUAAAAAUAAAUAAAUAAAUAAAUAAAAUAAAAAAAUAAAAAAAAUAAAAACUAUAUUGGGGCAGGCGCUGUGGCAUAGUGGGCUAAGCCUCCGCCUGUAGCACUGGUUCGAGUUCCGGCUGCUCCUCUUCCGAUCCAGCUCUCUGUAAUAGCCUGGGAAAGCAGUAGAAGAUAGCCCAAGUCCUUGGGCCCCUGCACCUGCAUGGGAGACCUGGAGGAAGCUCCUGGCUCCUGGCUUUGGAUCUGUUCAGCUCCAGCCAUUGUGGCCAUCUGGGGAGUGAACCAGUGGAUGGAAGACCUCUCUCUGCGUCUCUACCUCUCUCUCUCUCUUUCUCUGCCUCUGCCUCUCUGUAGCUCUGCCUCUCAAAUAAAUAAAUAAAAUCUUAAAAAAAUAAAAAUUAUGCUAAAAUAUUGCACACAUUAAGAAAGUUCUGGUAGGGCCAGCGCUGUGGCGCAGCAAGUAAAGCUGUCGCCUGCAGUGCCAACAUCCCAUAUGGGUGCCGGUUCUAAUCCUAUCUGCUCCACUGAUGACCUACCUCCCUGCUAAUGCACCUGGGAAAGCAGCAGAAGAUGGCCCAAGUGUUUGGGCCUCUGCACCCAAGUGGGAGACCCAGAAGAAGCUCCUGGCUCCUCGAUUCAGACUGGCCCAGCUCCGGCCAUUGUGGCUAUUUGAGGAGUGAACGAGCAGAUGGAAGAUCUCUGUCUCUUCCUUUCUCUCACUCUGUAACUAAAUAAAAAUAAUUAAAAAAUAAAUUUAUGGAUAAAAAUAUGAUAAAUCCUUGGGGCCACAGCAGGUUAAGCCUCAGCUUGUAACACUGACAUCCCGUAUCAGAGUGCUUGUUUGAGUCCUGGCUGCUCUGCUUCUGAUCCAGCUCCCUGCUAAUGCACCUGGGAAAGCAACACAAGAUGCCCCAAGUGCCACCUAUGUGGGGGACCUGAUCAGUCCACAGUGCUUCUUGCUCAGGACCUGAGGUUUCUGGAAAGACCCUCUAGAGCUAACUGCAGGGGAGAUAAACAACCUCACGAUUCUUGCGAUCGGGGGACAGGCAGCACCACUCCCUUAAUUUAGGGAGUUAAUUUGAGUAAGAGGUUGAUGUGCUAAGGAGGCAGCCUGAGCAAUUCUGGGACCAGGGCCAACACCUGCAUCCGAGCACUGUGGAGGGGCUUGGAAUUCUGGUGACUGGAUGGAGAACCUUUUUUUUUUUUUUUCCUGCCAAGGGCUAUUUGGAUACUUAUAACACCAUUGGUGGGCCAUACACAAUGACCAACUUAAAAGUUAGCCUGCUUGGCCAGCGCCGCGGCUCACUAGGCUAAUCUUCCACCUUGCGGCACCGGCACACUGGGUUCUAGUCCCGGUCGGGGCGCCGGAUUCUGUCCCGGUUGCCCCUCUUCCAGGCCAGCUCUCUGCUGUGGCCAGGGAGUGCAGUGGAGGAUGGCCCAAGUACUAGGGCCCUGCACCCCAUGGGAGACCAGAAUAAGUACCUGGCUCCUGCCAUCGGAUCAGCGCGGUGCGCCAGCCGCAGCGCACCGGCGGCGGCGGCCAUUGGAGGGUGAACCAACAGCAAAAGGAAGACCUUUCUCUCUGUCUCUCUCUCUCUCACUGUGCACUCUGCCUGUCAAAAAAAAAAAAAAAAA